AUUCAGCUCUGAUUCUGCUCUCAGUCACUUCACAUCUCUAUCAACAUGCUGCUCUCUAUCCUUUCUCUCCUAGCACUGGUGUCAGGAGAAACUUCAGCACAGACAAUUGCUGCACUUACAGAAGAAGUGCAUGUUUUAGAGGGUGAUAAUGUUACUCUCUCCUGCAACUACAGUACCACUACUGAUGCUCUUCAGUGGUAUCGUCAAUUUCCCAGAUCCAGACCAGAGUUUCUCCUGUACAUUUACCCUCAUGGGACUAAGAGUGAUCCUCUUCCUCCUCGUAUGUCUGCUGAAGUUAAAGAGAAUAAUCGUGUGGACCUGUUGAUCUCCUCUGCUGCAGUAUCAGACUCAGCACUCUACUACUGUUUGAACACAGUGACCAGUGAAGAAUAUGACAGUGCUUUCAAACUCAUUGACCACAUCCUGACAGUGGAGUGA
This is a non-coding RNA of Pygocentrus nattereri (red-bellied piranha), 438 nucleotides long. NCBI's taxonomy places the organism in Eukaryota, Metazoa, Chordata, Actinopteri, Characiformes, Serrasalmidae. The record is from the annotation of a RefSeq genome assembly.